GGUUUAAUUCGAUGCAACGCGAAGAACCUUACCUGGUCUUGACAUCCACAGAACUUUCCAGAGAUGGAUUGGUGCCUUCGGGAACUGUGAGACAGGUGCUGCAUGGCUGUCGUCAGCUCGUGUUGUGGAAUGUUGGGUUAAGUCCCGCAACGAGCGCAACCCUUAUCCUUUGUUGCCAGCGGUUAGGCCGGGAACUCAAAGGAGACUGCCAGUGAUAAACUGGAGGAAGGUGGGGAUGACGUCAAGUCAUCAUGGCCCUUACGACCAGGGCUACACACGUGCUACAAUGGCAUAUACAAAGAGAAGCGACCUCGCGAGAGCAAGCGGACCUCAUAAAGUAUGUCGUAGUCCGGAUUGGAGUCUGCAACUCGACUCCAUGAAGUCGGAAUCGCUAGUAAUCGUAGAUCAGAAUGCUACGGUGAAUACGUUCCCGGGCCUUGUACACACCGCCCGUCACACCAUGGGAGUGGGUUGCAAAAGAAGUAGGUAGCUUA
Molecule: ribosomal RNA, 494 nt
Filed under: Klebsiella pneumoniae
Lineage: Bacteria; Pseudomonadati; Pseudomonadota; Gammaproteobacteria; Enterobacterales; Enterobacteriaceae
Description: bacterial SSU rRNA
Rfam family: Bacterial small subunit ribosomal RNA
Source: RNAcentral